AAAUUAUGCAGGCUGCCAGUGCUAUCCAGAGAGUGCGCGGCUUAUGGGAACAACCAGUCCGGUUGCGUGACGCUUUCUGUUUGUAAGCCUUGUUUAGUUCCUAUUUCUUUUAUUGUAGCACUUUCGUUUUUAUUUGAUAAUUAUUAUUCAAUUAUGAACUAAUUAGGCUCAAAAGAUUCAUCUCGUGAUUUAUAGACAAACUGUGUAAUUAUUUUUUGUUUUUGACUAUAUUUAAUGCUCCAUUCAUGUGCGGCA
This 255-nucleotide long non-coding RNA is filed under the name Sorghum bicolor (sorghum). RNAcentral describes it as "long non-coding RNA (SBIC_LNC003571)". Lineage: Eukaryota; Viridiplantae; Streptophyta; Magnoliopsida; Poales; Poaceae. The record is from RNAcentral.